This 242-nucleotide unclassified non-coding RNA is filed under the name plant metagenome. RNAcentral describes it as "partial contains small subunit ribosomal RNA, internal transcribed spacer 1, and 5.8S ribosomal RNA". The record is from RNAcentral.
UCUCCGUUGGUGAACCAGCGGAGGGAUCAUUACAGAGUUUUCACAACUCCCAACCCUUGCGAACCGUACCCAUUCUGUUCUCGUUGCUUCCGGCGGGGGGGACGUGGGGGCCCGAAACGGCCUCCCCGCCCCGCCCGCCGGGCGCGGCGGGCCCUACGAACCUUUAUGUCUCAACCACCAGAAACCGUCUGAGAAAACAAACAAAAAAAUCAAAACUUUCAACAACGGAUCUCUUGGCUCUG